CACAGAGAUACCCGCCUCCCCUCCCGCCCCUUCCCUCUAGGGCUCUCCUCCUCUCCCUCCCCACAGCCCCCCGCCCGUGCCGAGAGAGGAGAGACGAGGUCCUGGCCUUUUCCAUCAGGCGGACAGCGGGCAGCCCCGGCCCGGGGUCCUCACGGGAGCUAUAAAUACCGAGGCCCCAGCACGGACCGCGCCACGUGGAGCAGAGCGGGGCUGGUUGGGGCCACGUGCGGGCUGGUGAGCGCUGCUCAGCAGUGACCCCGCCAUGGACAAGUGGUGGGGUGCCCAGGCGGGGCUGCUGUCCCUGGGGAGAUCCCCACCGUGAUCUGACCUGGGGGAGGCUGGAGGAAUGGAGCUGUGAUACUGCCCUGCAGAGAUCGGUGGGCACUGGGGUGCAGUGAGCCCCCUGGCUGGUGCCAAGACCCCACAUGUGCUGAGGAGCCAGGAUUCCUGGGUUCUUUUCCCAGCUGCCCCUGCCCCUGGCCUUGAGCCCUGCUGAUCGGGGGUGUGGGGUUCACGUACUCUUCUUGCUGAUGCACCUGCAGCUGUUGCCCCUGUCCUGCCAAUAAAGUCAUGUUAGUCUGAAUGGA
Long non-coding RNA from Gopherus evgoodei (Goodes thornscrub tortoise), 587 nucleotides. RefSeq lists it as uncharacterized. The record is from RefSeq and is a predicted model, not a curated record. The transcript has 3 exons. NCBI's taxonomy places the organism in Eukaryota, Metazoa, Chordata, Testudines, Testudinidae.